RNAcentral lists this ribosomal RNA (363 nucleotides) under uncultured Flavobacterium sp. Its description in RNAcentral is "bacterial SSU rRNA". It matches the Rfam family "Bacterial small subunit ribosomal RNA", at positions 9 to 372 of the family's 1533-position model. Lineage: Bacteria; Pseudomonadati; Bacteroidota; Flavobacteriia; Flavobacteriales; Flavobacteriaceae. The record is from RNAcentral.
GAGUUUGAUCGUGGCUCAGGAUGAACGCUAGCGGCAGGCCUAACACAUGCAAGUCGAGGGGUAGAGGAAGCUUGCUUCCUUGAGACCGGCGCACGGGUGCGUAACGCGUAUGCAAUCUACCUUGUACAGGGGGAUAGCCCAGAGAAAUUUGGAUUAAUACCCCAUGGUGUUAAGGUGUGGCAUCACAUUUUAACUAAAGUUCCAACGGUACAAGAUGAGCAUGCGUCCCAUUAGCUAGUUGGUGUGGUAACGGCAUACCAAGGCAAUGAUGGGUAGGGGUCCCUGAGAGGGAGAUCCCCCACACUGGUACUGAGACACGGACCAGACUCCUACGGGAGGCAGCAGUGAGGAAUAUUGGUCAAU